CGCCUCCAUUCCUCCCUGGGGACUCCGACCACAUCCUGGCUCAGCUGGGAGCGCGCUGAGACACGGUACAAACAGCGACCCCUGUUGGACGACGACGGUGUUGGCAGGAAGAGUCUUGGGGGCCGUCUUGGCCCCUUUGAGCUGCUUACGGAAUACCACAGACUGGGUGGCUGACAAAUAACAGAAGUUUAUUCCUGACAGUUUUGGAGGCUGGAGGUCCAAACUCAAGAUGCUAGCAGAUUCAGGGUCUGUGCUGCGGGAUCCCCGAGCUGUGCUCACCGUGUGGUUCGUGGCAGCCUCACCCAAACCUUCAGGAAUAACUAUGUGAGUGUUCCAAUGUUCUCAGUGGGAAGGCUCAUGCACUUGAAACAGGAAGUAACCUGUCCAAGAAUACUCAGUGGACAAAGGCCAG
Molecule: long non-coding RNA, 412 nt
Organism: Bos taurus (domestic cattle)
Lineage: Eukaryota; Metazoa; Chordata; Mammalia; Artiodactyla; Bovidae
Source: Ensembl